This is a long non-coding RNA of Zophobas morio, 4269 nucleotides long. RefSeq lists it as uncharacterized. NCBI's taxonomy places the organism in Eukaryota, Metazoa, Arthropoda, Insecta, Coleoptera, Tenebrionidae. The transcript is spliced from 7 exons. The record is from RefSeq and is a predicted model, not a curated record.
AGGACACAUACAGCUAGCGCCUCUACCUUGUCGAGCGGAAAUCAUUCUAGUUAUUUUGGGGAUUUUCGUUUACAUUGCUUUAUGAACAAUACAAAAUUUGUAAAUGACAUUUGAUCGGAGUCGAUAAGUACGAUUUCUUUUAUUAAUUACAUCGGUUAUAGACAGAUGCCUAUAGAGUUCUGUGUCCCUAAAACGUCAAAAACCAGGCGACGCGAUCGACAAUUGGCGUCGCUGACCAGGGAUAUGCAAAUGUAUGCUAGUGUAUCAACCUAUCUAUUGUACAACCGUGGUUAUAAUAAACGAACCUGCAAACGUUCCCAAAUUAUUUAAUUAAAAACAACAUAAACAAGAAUAGCACUAAUAAAGCAAAUACUCAAAAUGAUGUCGCUUAAUGGAAAACCACACUAUUGCCACCACAAUUUAGAAAAAAAAAUCCAUGGAUGACUAGAGGAGGUUUGUUUUCAAUUAUAUGAGAGUCAUUAAUCUUAAAAACUGCAUCUUGACUACUUCGGACCCAAAUUUAACCAAUAAUUUUCUUCUGCAACGGUUGAAGGAGUUGAAGGGUAAUUCAAGGCGUAAUUCGGAACCUCCAAGAUCUUGUACUACCACCGUGUCUUUAUAAAAAAAUCCGUCGUAGUAGGAGUCGGCAGAAUCUAUGGCGAUCGCAUAUUUCAAAACCGCAAGCCAAGCUUCUACUUCAGCGUGCCCUUCGCGACGCAUGGUUAAUCCUUGCAAAAACUCAUCGUCGAUGAUGAUUUUAAUCUGACCAUUGUGUCCUUUAUCUAUACGAAGGACAAAACACAUUUUCCUAAAAACAUUAACAAGAAAAGAACAUACCUUUUUUGCUGUUUUAUCAGUUGUCACAAACAGCGUUAUAUCCACAAAACACACGUUAUAUCUUGCUAUUGACAGACAAAGACAAAUGCAGAAAUAGCAGAGAUAUAGUGAAGGAGAAUGGGGGCCGCCAUUUUAUCAGUUAACAUUAAAGUUUUGUUUACCUACGAGGUUACGACGUUCUUGAACCAGUUGUAAUUUGGAGUUAAAAUUAUUACUUAAUUUGUUUUACCGUUAGUGUACGUAUGAACGUGCUUGUUAGUGUUAAAGGACAUUAUUAGCAUUUCCACAACAUUUGAAGGUGAGGAACGUGAUCAGGGGGUGCUGUAGAAGAGUUUUGUGCAAAAAGUUUGUCCGAAAUCGCGAAGUGCUCUUUGUAAAAUUUGACCCAUUAUUAUUGACAACAAACAUGUCUUCUACAGUUUCUCACUGUAAAAAUUGUCAACGAUUUCGUUCAGAAGGUGUAUCUUUUCAUCAGUUUCCGAAAGAUCGAGAACUUUUAAAAAAGUGGCUGAUUGUUGUGAAAAAAGAUGACAGCUUCAAACUGACUAAGUAUAAGCUGGUGUCUUCAGAUCAUUUCACAACAACUGAUUUCAUUGUUGUAAAUUAGAGAAAACGAUUGAAAUCGAACGCAAUUCCCAGUGUGAAUUUAGAUGAAAGUCUAGAAGCUUCUUCAACUUCAGUGAGUACUGUGAGUGCUACUUCAGCUGAUAUUUGAAAAGAGUCUCCAUCGAUUAUACCUCAAGGUGUAAAGAGGACAUUAAGUGCUGCGCAGAGAUACCAUGGAAAAAGCAGUAGCAGUACAAGUGGAAGUAAAAGCAAGAACUCAAAAAGUAGUUCUGACAGUAGGGAAGGUGAUAAGCUGGCGUUACAUAAAGAAACUACAUGAAGAAGAAUUCCUAAAUGUUGCAAACAAGUUGAAAAAGGCACAUUUGGAGUGGCGCCAACAUAAAAUGAAAUUCUAUUAUAGGUGAGUUUAGCAGCACAAACUCUUAGCAAGAGUUGUGGAUGCACUUGAAUUUUUAAAAGAUCUUGGUAUUGGUGACUUUCAAGGUUGUGAAACAACAAUAGAAUUCAUCAGAAGGAUAGAUUCUUUAUUUGAUAUUCUCAAUUCCCGAAGUGUACAUGCUAAGAAUUUUAAGGCACCUUUGAGAGAAAACAAUGAAGAAAUGUGGUGUCCAUUUCUCAUCGACACCAAUGAGUAUCUUCUGAAUAUGAAGGAUGUCACUGGAAGGCCUUUGUGGUGCACGCCCCGAAAAACGUCAAUUCUGGGCUUUGCUAUUUCCGCUACGUCGUUCAUGGGAAUUUUUGAUGAAUUUGUUAGUAGUAAGAGGUUGAAUAACUUGCUAACAUAUAAAUGUAGUCAAGAUCAUCUGUAAAUUUUAUUCUGCUCAGUGCGAUCGAGAAAUGGGUGAAACAAUAACCCUACUACUCUACAAUUUUGUAAAAUUUUUAGAAGAUUGCUUCUAUUUACAAACAUAACGAGGGAAGGAGGAAAUUGUAAAGUGCUUUGCACCACCUGUAUGCUCUCUGUUAGCAGUGGCCCAAAGUAAAAGAGCACAAAUGUUCAACAAUCAGUUGACGUGUUUGUCUUGAAAAAAUAUGGUCUCGAUAUUUUGACUGAAGCACUUGCAGAUCAUGACUAUGACCGUCUAAUUUUAUUGGGCCGAGUGAAGUGGCAGAAAACGUUGUGGCAUAUACAGGGUGACUGCGAAAUAUGUGCAAAUAUUUUAACCACGGCAUCCCCCACCCUAGUAGAGCCGAAAUAUAGAAAAAAUAAAUUAAAAAUCGAAUGGGGCAAAACCCCCAUGAACCACCCUCGAUACGAAGGCACUGAGCCACCUUGUAAACAGAGUUGGAAAAACGUUCGAAUAAAAACGACCUAAACACUUUCAGUUUCAAUUAAAAGUAAAACCGACUUUUUGCUGCUUAUCAUUCGUUCAUUCAUUUACUCAUUCAUCGUUAAAGGUCAGUGUGAAAGUUUUUUGGUAAUUUUGAUUCUGACGGAUGUUUGGUGCUUGUCACAACGAUUUUACAUUGUUUAUUGGAACAGAAAUAAGAGCAACUUAGAAUGCUACUACCUUUUUACAAGAAAUGUUGAAAAUGUUGUCCUUGACUAGCAAUUCAAGCGUCAGAGCGUCGCAAGAGGUUUGUUGUUAGGUAAAAAAAACACCGGAGUAGCGGCUGUCACUUUUACUUGUUGAAGCUCUUCGAUUAUUUCUGGACACUGUUGAUUUCCGCAAACGAAUUGUUUCAUCCAACCAAUACACGUUUCUCGAAAACCGUCUCUUGAAAUCGUACUUGUUGACGACCAUGUGGAGUUUCAUCGGACAAAAAGUGAGUUACACAACGUGGACAAUCAGUGGACUCCAAACCGUGCACUUUGUCAACAUGGUAUGGUUGUGACCGUGUACUUUUAAUGUAGGAUCCACUACAAGCUGCGAAAAUCCAAUUUCUUCUUUCUGUCCCAUCACGACCACGAUCGUGAGUUUGAGGUUGAAGGUACCAUGAUCUCGGAGAUGCUGUACCACUGACGUAAAUGUUCGCGCACAUGGAAUCGCGCGAUUUGGAAAGCGUUUGAUCCACAAUUCGCGGGCCAAGCUUGAGUUCCCAUCCGCCACCCCAUACAGCAUUAUCAUGUCGGCACGCUCUGAAUUUGUAAAAUUCACCAUUGUCAAACACAACCGAACACACCCAGCUACGGCAAGUAACUGAUGCACUACUGUCCUUAUCGUCUUUUUGCACUAGUUUUUUGGUUCUUAAACUUCGUCGCUGGGUGCCAUUCAUUGUAGUAAUGAUGUAGGUCAAGAAACACUACCAGCGGCGUGUGUGACAAUUUAUAAGUAAUUUCAAAUAAUUUUUUCCCGACACUGUUACCACUUAGGAUCGUGAAUUUUAUACAGUGACAUACUCGUAUCGUGAGCUAUUCCCCAUUUUUUUUUUGCACAUAUUUCGCAGUCAGGCUAUAUUGGUAGCUAUGUUGUCAAAAUGGUGGUGAAGACGUUUAAGUGCACAGACUGCAUUUCUUCUUGCAUUGAAACACGAGGAAGUGACUUACAGUUUUACAGAUUAUGGGGCAAAAAAAACAUGGGUGGACUUAUUAAACCUUUUGCUGGGGUUGUAAAGACUUGUUGUUAUUGUUAAUACGAAAAAUUUUGCAACUCACCAAUAGCAAACUUCCAAGCGAUGAACAAUUUUUUAAAACUUUCGGCAUGUCAGCAUUCUUUUUCCUAAAUUAGAGGACCCACGCACUCGAGACGGCGGCCAUCGAUGAAGGCCAUUUAUAUAUUCUUAUUAAACAAAUAAUUAAUGUCUACAUGUAAAUAAGAAUGUUUAAUUUGAGCAAAAGACUUCAUGUCUUGCUCAAGGCACUUCUGUUAGACAUGUGUACACAAUUUGUACUGUUUUCGCAUCAAUAAAUAUAUUUAAGUAUAA